AGCGAACGCUGGCGGCGUGCCUAACACAUGCAAGUCGAACGUGAAAAGGGAAACCUGAGUAAAGUGGCGUACGGGUGAGUAACGCGUAGGUAAUCUACCCCAGAAUCUGGAAUAACCUGCCGAAAGGCGGGCUAAUACUGGAUAGAGCGAGGGAACUCGUAAGAGAGUUUUUCGGGAAAGGGAGCCCGCAAGGGCCUUCGUUCUGGGAUGAGCCUGCGUCUCAUUGGCUAGUUGGUAAGGUAACGGCUUACCAAGGCGAUGAUGAGUAGCUGGUCUGAGAGGAUGAUCAGCCACACUGGAACUGAAACACGGUCCAGACUCCUACGGGAGGCAGCAGUGGGGAAUCUUGCGCAAUGGACGAAAGUCUGACGCAGCCACGCCGCGUGAGUGAAGAAGGCCUUCGGGUUGUAAAGCUCUGUCGGAUGGGACGAACAUCUUCAUAGUGAAUAGCUAUGAGGACUGACGGUACCAUCAAAGGAAGCACCGGCUAACUCCGUG
Molecule: ribosomal RNA, 498 nt
Filed under: uncultured bacterium
Lineage: Bacteria
Description: partial 16S ribosomal RNA
Rfam family: Bacterial small subunit ribosomal RNA
Source: RNAcentral